UUAAGCUACAAAGAGCGUAGGGUGAAUGCCUAGGUACCAAGAGCCGAAGAAGGACGUGACAAGCUGCGAAAAGCCACGGGGAAGAGCAAAUAUCUAGCGAGCCGUGGAUAUCCGAAUGAGGAAACUCACAUAGUGAAAAUAGACUAUGUAUUUAUAUGUAAGUAAAGUAGCAUAUAAAGGGGAACGUGGGGAACUGAAACAUCUUAGUACCCAUAGGAAAAGAAAGUAAAAACGAUUCCUAAAGUAGUGGCGAGCGAAAUAGGAAGAGCCCAAACCAAGAGUAGAAAUACCCUUGGGGUUCGGACUACAAUAAGUUAUCUAUAAUUCUAGUAGAAUUGUCUGGGAAGGCAAACCAUAGAAGGUGAGAGUCCAGUAUAUGAAAGGAAAGUAGAGACUAGUAGAAUCCAGAGUAGUGUGAGACACGAGAAAUCUUGCAUGAAAGAGCGGGGACCAUCCCGUAAGGCUAAAUACUACUUGGUAACCGAUAGAGAUGAGUACCGUGAGGGAAAGGUGAAAAGGACCCCGGGAGGGGAGUGAAAGAGAACCUGAAACCCUAUGUUUACAAGCAGAUAAAGCGAAUUAAGGCGCGAUAUCGUACUUUUUGUAGAACGGUCCAGCGAGUUAUUGUAUAUGGCAAGGUUAAGUACUAAGUAAGGUACGGAGCCGAAGUGAAAGCGAGCCUGAAUAGGGCGAAUUAAGUCAUAUGUAAUAGACCCGAAACCGGGUGACCUAUCCAUGGUCAGGAUGAAGCUAGAGUAAAAUCUAGUGGAGGUCCGAACUCAUAAGCGUUAAAAAGCUUCGGGAUGAACUGUGGAUAGCGGAGAAAUUCCAAUCGAACUCGGAGAUAGCUGGUUCUCCUCGAAAUAGCUUUAGGGCUAGCCUUGAGGGAAGAUAUGUGGGGGUAGAGCACUGAAUGAGGUAGGGGCCUAACCAGGUUACUGAACUCUAUCAAACUGCGAAUACCAUGUAUUAAUACUCAGGAGUCAGACUACGGGAGCUAAGUUCCGUGGUCAAAAGGGAAAGAGCCCAGACCGACAAUUAAGGUCCCAAAGAUAUAGUUAAGUGGGAAACGAUGUGAAUUUGCGUAAACAACCAGGAUGUUGGCUCAGAAGCAGCCAUUCAUUCAAAGAGUGCGUAACAGCUCACUGGUCGAGUGAAUUUGCGCGGAAAAUUACCGGGGCUAAACUAUACACCGAAAUUACGGAUUUGUAAAUGAAAAUUUAUAAGUGGUAGAGGAGCAUUCUGUGGUAGGGCGAAGCUAAAGCGAGAGCAUUAGUGGACGAAGCAGAAGAGAGAAUGCUGGAAUAAGUAGCGAGAGCGAGGUGAGAAUCCUUGCCGUCGAAAGUCUAAGGUUUCCUGGGGAAGGUUCGUCCGCCCAGGGUAAGUCGGGACCUAAGGAGAGGCCGAAAGGCGUAUCUGAUGGAUAGCAGGUGGAAAUUCCUGCACUAUAGCCAUACUUAAAAGAUGCAAGGGACGCAGGAGAGGAAGAUAACCGAGGAAGAGGAAAAACUCGGAUCGAAAGAUGGAGUGAAAAUAGAAGUAACGAAGUAUCAAGAAUCACACUGACGAGAAAAGCUUGUAGAGAUUGUAUGGAAAUACCCGUACCGCAAACCGACACAGGUAGAUGAGGAGAGGAUCCUAAGACGAACGGGAGAAGCAUUGUUAAGGAACUCGGCAAAAUAACCCCGUAACUUCGGGAGAAGGGGAGCCUAUGUAAAAGUAGGCCGCAGUGAAAAGGCCCAAGCAACUGUUUAACAAAAACACAGGUUUCUGCUAAAUCGAAAGAUGAAGUAUAGGAGCUGACGCCUGCCCAGUGCUGGAAGGUUAAGGGGAAAUGUUAGGAGCAAUCCGAAGCAUAGAACUGAAGCCCCAGUGAACGGCGGCCGUAACUAUAACGGUCCUAAGGUAGCGAAAUUCCUUGUCAGGUAAGUUCUGACCCGCACGAAAGGCGUAAUGAUUUGAACACUGUCUCGACAAUGUACCCGGCGAAAUUGUAGUACUAGUGAAGAUGCUAGUUACCUGCGACAAGACAGAAAGACCCCAUGGAGCUUUACUGCAGCUUGAUACUGGGUUUUGGUAAUUUAUGUACAGGAUAGGUGGGAUACAUUGAAGCAAGGGCGCCAGCUUUUGUGGAGUAGACGUUGGGAUACCACUCUUAAAUUAUUGAAAUUCUAACCUGUGAUCAUGAACUGGUCAGGGGACAAUGUCAGGCGGGCAGUUUGACUGGGGCGGUCGCCUCCUAAAGAGUAACGGAGGCGCCCAAAGGU
Molecule: ribosomal RNA, 2267 nt
Filed under: human gut metagenome
Description: bacterial LSU rRNA
Rfam family: Bacterial large subunit ribosomal RNA
Source: RNAcentral